UGCUUUUGUAGCAAUACGAAGGUAUCCUAGUGGCGAACGGGUGAGUAACGCGUUGGUGACCUACCCCAAAGUGUGGGAUAACAGUUCGAAAGGACUGCUAAUACCGCAUGUGGUUAUCGGAUUUAGAAACUGAUAACUAAAGGAGCAAUUCGCUUUGGGAGGGACCUGCGUCCCAUCAGCUAGUUGGUGAGGUAAUGGCUCACCAAGGCUACGACGGGUAGGGGACCUGAGAGGGUGACCCCCCACAAUGGAACUGAAACACGGUCCAUACACCUACGGGUGGCAGCAGUAGGGAAUAUUGCACAAUGGGCGAAAGCCUGAUGCAGCAACGCCGCGUGUGCGAUGAAGGCCCUCGGGUCGUAAAGCACUUUUCUGAGGGAUGAGCAAGGACAGUACCUCACGAAUAAGUCUCGGCUAACUACGUGCCAGCCGCCGCGG
Molecule: ribosomal RNA, 438 nt
Filed under: uncultured bacterium
Lineage: Bacteria
Description: bacterial SSU rRNA
Rfam family: Bacterial small subunit ribosomal RNA
Source: RNAcentral